ACUCAAAGGAAUUGACGGGGACCCGCACAAGCAGCGGAGCAUGUGGUUUAAUUCGACGCAACGCGAAGAACCUUACCUGGGCUUGACAUGUUCCUGACCGCCUUGGAAACAAGGCUUCCCUUCGGGGCAGGAUCACAGGUGGUGCAUGGCUGUCGUCAGCUCGUGUCGUGAGAUGUUGGGUUAAGUCCCGCAACGAGCGCAACCCCCGUCGCAUGUUGCCAGCAUUUAGUUGGGGACUCAUGCGAGACUGCCGGUGACAAACCGGAGGAAGGUGGGGAUGACGUCAAGUCAUCAUGCCCCUUAUGUCCAGGGCUACACACGUGCUACAUUGGCUGGUACAGAGGGUUGCGAUACCGCGAGGUGGAGCGAAUCCCUCAAAGCCAGUCUCGGUUCGGAUUGCAGGCUGAAACUCGCCUGCAUGAAGGCGGAGUUGCUAGUAAUCGCGGAUCAGCAAUGCCGCGGUGAAUACGUUCCCGGGUCUUGCACACACCGCCCGU
This 497-nucleotide ribosomal RNA is filed under the name uncultured bacterium. Its description in RNAcentral is "partial 16S ribosomal RNA". It matches the Rfam family "Bacterial small subunit ribosomal RNA", at positions 899 to 1397 of the family's 1533-position model. The record is from RNAcentral.